UACGUAGGGUGCAAGCGUUAAUCGGAAUUACUGGGCGUAACGCGUGCGCAGGCGGUCAUGUAAGACAGAUGUGAAAUCCCCGGGCUCAACCUGGGAACUGCAUUUGUGACUGCAUCGCUGGAGUGCGGGAGAGGGGGAUGGAAUUCCGCGUGUAGCAGUGAAAUGCGUAGAUAUGCGGAGGAACACCGAUGGCGAAGGCAAUCCCCUGGGCCUGCACUGACGCUCAUGCGCGAAAGCGUGGGGAGCAAACAGG
This 253-nucleotide ribosomal RNA is filed under the name uncultured bacterium. RNAcentral describes it as "partial 16S ribosomal RNA". It matches the Rfam family "Bacterial small subunit ribosomal RNA", at positions 524 to 776 of the family's 1533-position model. The record is from RNAcentral.